GAUGAACGCUGGCGGCGUGCCUAAUACAUGCAAGUCGAGCGAACGGACGAGAAGCUUGCUUCUCUGAUGUUAGCGGCGGACGGGGGAGUAACACGUGGAUAACCUACCUAUAAGACUGGGAUAACUUCGGGAAACCGGAGCUAAUACCGGAUAAUAUUUUGAACCGCAUGGUUCAAAAGUGAAAGACGGUCUUGCUGUCACUUAUAGAUGGAUCCGCGCUGCAUUAGCUAGUUGGUAAGGUAACGGCUUACCAAGGCAACGAUGCAUAGCCGACCUGAGAGGGUGAUCGGCCACACUGGAACUGAGACACGGUCCAGACUCCUACGGGAGGCAGCAGUAGGGAAUCUUCCGCAAUGGGCGAAAGCCUGACGGAGCAACGCCGCGUGAGUGAUGAAGGUCUUCGGAUCGUAAAACUCUGUUAUUAGGGAAGAACAUAUGUGUAAGUAACUGUGCACAUCUUGACGGUACCUAAUCAGAAAGCCACGGCUAACUACGU
RNAcentral lists this ribosomal RNA (496 nucleotides) under uncultured bacterium. RNAcentral's name for it is "partial 16S ribosomal RNA". It matches the Rfam family "Bacterial small subunit ribosomal RNA", at positions 28 to 506 of the family's 1533-position model. The record is from RNAcentral.